Molecule: transfer RNA, 73 nt
Filed under: Gammaproteobacteria bacterium
Lineage: Bacteria; Pseudomonadati; Pseudomonadota; Gammaproteobacteria
Description: tRNA-Gly
Rfam family: tRNA
About the family: Transfer RNA (tRNA) molecules are approximately 80 nucleotides in length. Their secondary structure includes four short double-helical elements and three loops (D, anti-codon, and T loops).
Source: RNAcentral
GCGGGAAUAGCUCAGUUGGUAGAGCACGACCUUGCCAAGGUCGGGGUCGCGAGUUCGAGUCUCGUUUCGUGAU